Molecule: ribosomal RNA, 424 nt
Filed under: uncultured bacterium
Lineage: Bacteria
Description: bacterial SSU rRNA
Rfam family: Bacterial small subunit ribosomal RNA
Source: RNAcentral
GGGGAAUAUUGGACAAUGGGCGCAAGCCUGAUCCAGCCAUACCGCGUGGGUGAAGAAGGCCUUCGGGUUGUAAAGCCCUUUUGUUGGGAAAGAAAAGCAGUCGGCUAAUACCCGGUUGUUCUGACGGUACCCAAAGAAUAAGCACCGGCUAACUUCGUGCCAGCAGCCGCGGUAAUACGAAGGGUGCAAGCGUUACUCGGAAUUAUUGGGCGUAAAGGGCGCGUAGGCGGCGUCUCAAGUGGAUGGUGAAAUCCCCGGGCUUAACCUGGGAACUGCCGUCCAAACUGAGAGGCUUGAGUCCGGGAGAGGUAAGUGGAAUUCCCAGUGUAGCGGUGAAAUGCGUAGAUAUUGGGAGGAACACCAGUGGCGAAGGCGGCUUACUGGACCGGAACUGACGCUGAGGCGCGAAAGCGUGGGGAGCAAA